RNAcentral lists this long non-coding RNA (406 nucleotides) under Salvia miltiorrhiza (redroot sage). RNAcentral's name for it is "long non-coding RNA (SMIL_LNC003872)". The record is from RNAcentral. Lineage: Eukaryota; Viridiplantae; Streptophyta; Magnoliopsida; Lamiales; Lamiaceae.
GAGACUUACAGUUCUCAAAGAAUUAAAGUGAAUACAGAGGGAAGGAAAAAGACACAGACGAGCUACAAGCGAAGAAGAAGAGAAAACGCGAAGGUAGAGGAAUGCCUCACCCCGAAGAAGGAACGCUGUAAUUGUAUUUCUUUGAGUGUAUGGAAGAAGGGGUCAAGAGCAGCUAUUUAUACUGCGAAUUAGGGCUUUAUUUUUGGGAAGGAGCAUCAAUCAAACAAAUCUUUCCAUAAUUUUCAUGAUCAUCAAGAAGGAAGGUGAAUUAGGGUUUUCUGAUCUUCCUCAAACAAUUUACGUGGCUGCACAACAAAUUACUAUGGGCUCAAGCAAUGGGCUUCAAUAAAAGAAUUUGGGCUUUAUUAAAAGAGGUAAUUAGUAUCUUGUAAGAAAUGAAAUCCCC